Long non-coding RNA from Nematostella vectensis (starlet sea anemone), 423 nucleotides. RefSeq lists it as uncharacterized. The record is from RefSeq and is a predicted model, not a curated record. NCBI's taxonomy places the organism in Eukaryota, Metazoa, Cnidaria, Anthozoa, Actiniaria, Edwardsiidae. The transcript has 2 exons.
CAAAAAAUUGGAAUAGUGUUGAAUAGCAUAGUGUGAAUUAUAUCUUACUUACAGAUGUCUCUUUUUCAUAGAGAAGUAUGUACGCCCUACUGGCGAGCACUUGGGCAAGGAGGACCAGCUGGACCUGUAACACACAAAGCGGAUUGAAGAAAUACUAAUACUGCAAAAAUAGGUGACAUAGUGGCCAUUCAUACAAGUCGUACCGCUGUGAACAAGAAAUGCCUUCAGAGCAUACGAGCUCUUCUAUAAAAUAAACAAUCUUUAGGACUCUUGUCAAGUUACAAAUAUUCCAAAAAUCUGAGACAACUUCGGAAAGGAGGGAGAGGGGGUUAAGGGAAGGGCAAAAGAAAAUUGAAAAAAUGAACCAUGUAUUUUUGUGUGUAGAUAUUGUGCCAAGAUGUAAGAAUAAAAGCUGCAAAUAUA